This 203-nucleotide unclassified non-coding RNA is filed under the name Hevea brasiliensis (rubber tree). The record is from RNAcentral. Lineage: Eukaryota; Viridiplantae; Streptophyta; Magnoliopsida; Malpighiales; Euphorbiaceae.
ACACAGUUAUGCAAAUGACAAUAAUCCAUACUUUCUUGGGGAAAUUGUAUGCUAUUGAACUUGUGACAAUGGGGGGGCACUUACCCUAGUUCUUCUGUUGUAGGCUACUAGACAACAUAAUGUGAGAUGAGAAAAUCUCUUGACAAAGCAGCAUCCUUGAGUUACUUCACUAAUGCUGCAGGGAAAAGUUGAAGAACUAAUUG